This 557-nucleotide long non-coding RNA is filed under the name Mustela putorius furo (domestic ferret). RNAcentral describes it as "lncRNA (ENSMPUG00000029821.1)". Lineage: Eukaryota; Metazoa; Chordata; Mammalia; Carnivora; Mustelidae. The record is from RNAcentral.
CCUCCCACGAGACUUCUGAAUGUUUCCUUUAACAUUAACAAAUCACAACCUGAAGUGGCACGGAAACAUUUAAAUUAUAAGGCAAGUGAUGAGAAGGGAAAUGUAGAUCAUUGCUCAAAUACUGAAAAUCCCUAGGAAAAGAGAUGCCAGCAUCCAGAAGUCUAAUUUGGAUAUAUCCUUUUCUGAAUACCUGUGGGGAUUAACGGUGGUGGUCUUUACCUUGAAGCAUUGAUGCGUGUGUGCUGGUCUUUCUUGCGUGCAUGACCACGGCCUGGAUUGGUGGAAGACCCUGGGACUAAGAAGAAAGAAGGAAGUGGGGAGGAGCAAGGAGUCAAGGGGUCACCAUCAGGGUCCAGUGGCUUUCCUGCAAGAGUUCAAGAAUGUGGGUCCCAUCCUUCACUGAGGUCCAAGGGAGAGCAGCCUGCCGUCCUAGCACCGCUGCAAAGAAGCUGCCUGAAAUAUUUGUGCUGCCUCGUUCAUGGAAGAAAUAGAAUUCAAGAGAUCAAAACAGAGCCCACUAUUUUAUUGUAAAUAAAGUUACUGAUGUGAAAACAAAG